UACGAAGGGGGCUAGCGUUGCUCGGAAUUACUGGGCGUAAAGGGCGCGUAGGCGGCACUGUUAGUCAGGCGUGAAAGUCCUGGGCUCAACCUGGGAACUGCGCUUGAUACGGCAGAGCUAGAGGAUGGAAGAGGCUCGCGGAAUUCCCAGUGUAGAGGUGAAAUUCGUAGAUAUUGGGAAGAACACCGGUGGCGAAGGCGGCGAGCUGGUCCAUUACUGACGCUGAGGAGCGAAAGUGUGGGGAGCGAACAGG
This 253-nucleotide ribosomal RNA is filed under the name uncultured bacterium. RNAcentral describes it as "partial 16S ribosomal RNA". It matches the Rfam family "Bacterial small subunit ribosomal RNA", at positions 524 to 776 of the family's 1533-position model. The record is from RNAcentral.